RNAcentral lists this ribosomal RNA (210 nucleotides) under uncultured bacterium. RNAcentral describes it as "partial 16S ribosomal RNA". It matches the Rfam family "Bacterial small subunit ribosomal RNA", at positions 1290 to 1500 of the family's 1533-position model. The record is from RNAcentral.
AGUUCGGAUUGUAGUCUGCAACCGACUACAUGAAGCUGGAAUCGCUAGUAAUCGCGGAUCAGAAUGCCGCGGUGAAUACGUUCCCGGGUCUUGUACACACCGCCCGUCACACCAUGGGAGUCGGAAAUGCCCGAAGUCUGUGACCCAACCUUAGGGAGGGAGCAGCCGAAGGCAGGUCGGAUGACUGGGGUGAAGUCGUAACAAGGUACC